UACAGAGGUCUCUAGCGUUGUUCGGAUUCAUUGGGCGUGAAGGGUGCGUAGGCGGCGGGGUUAGUCAGGUGUGAAAUCUCGGAGCUCAACUCCGAAACUGCACUUGAUACUGCCUUGCUAGAGUACUGGAGAGGAGAUUGGAAUUUACGGUGUAGCAGUGAAAUGCGUAGAUAUCGGAAGGAAGACCAGUGGCGAAGGCGAAUCUCUGGACAGUUACUGACGCUGAGGCGCGAAAGCCAGGGGAGCAAACGGG
RNAcentral lists this ribosomal RNA (253 nucleotides) under uncultured bacterium. RNAcentral's name for it is "partial 16S ribosomal RNA". It matches the Rfam family "Bacterial small subunit ribosomal RNA", at positions 524 to 776 of the family's 1533-position model. The record is from RNAcentral.